Molecule: ribosomal RNA, 442 nt
Filed under: uncultured bacterium
Lineage: Bacteria
Description: partial 16S ribosomal RNA
Rfam family: Bacterial small subunit ribosomal RNA
Source: RNAcentral
CCUACGGUGGCAGCAGUGGGGAAUAUUGGGCAAUGGAGGCAACUCUGACCCAGCAACGCCGCGUGAGUGAUGAAGGUCCUCGGAUUGUAAAACUCCUUAAGUGGGGACGAAGAAAGUGACUGUACCUACAGAAUAAGCCACGGCUAACUACGUGCCAGCAGCCGCGGUAAUACGUAGGAGGCAAGCGUUAUCCGGAAUGACUGGGCGUAAAGGGUGCGUAGGCGGGUCUGCAAGUCAGUUGCGAAAAUUCGGGGCUCAACCUAGGAGCUGCUACUAAAACUGUUGGGCUUGAGUGUGGGAGGGGCAUAUGGAAUUCCUGGUGUAGCGGUGGAAUGCGUAGAUAUUGGGAGGAACACCAGUGGCGAAGGCGGCUUACUGGACUAUAACUGACGUUGAGACUCGAAAGCGUGGGGAGCAAACAGGAUUAGAUACCCGUGUAGUC